Molecule: ribosomal RNA, 276 nt
Filed under: uncultured Lactobacillus sp.
Lineage: Bacteria; Bacillati; Bacillota; Bacilli; Lactobacillales; Lactobacillaceae
Description: partial 16S ribosomal RNA
Rfam family: Bacterial small subunit ribosomal RNA
Source: RNAcentral
UGAUUUACAUUUGAGUGAGUGGCGAACUGGUGAGUAACACGUGGGAAACCUGCCCAGAAGCGGGGGAUAACACCUGGAAACAGAUGCUAAUACCGCAUAAACAACUUGGACCGCAUUGGUCCGAGUUUGAAAAGAUGGCUUCGGCUAUCACUUUUGGAUUGGUCCCGCGGCGUAUUAGCUAGAUGGUGAGGGUAACGGCUCACCAUGGCAAUGAUACGUAGCCCGACCUGAGAGGGUAAUCGGCCACAUUGGGACUGAGACACGGCCCCAAACUCC